GCCAGUGAUAAACUGGAGGAAGGUGGGGAUGACGUCAAGUCAUCAUGGCCCUUACGACCAGGGCUACACACGUGCUACAAUGGCAUAUACAAAGAGAAGCGACCUCGCGAGAGCAAGCGGACCUCAUAAAGUAUGUCGUAGUCCGGAUUGGAGUCUGCAACUCGACUCCAUGAAGUCGGAAUCGCUAGUAAUCGUAGAUCAGAAUGCUACGGUGAAUACGUUCCCGGGCCUUGUACACACCGCCCGUCACACCAUGGGAGUGGGUUGCAAAAGAAGUAGGUAGCUUAACCUUCGGGAGGGCGCUUACCACUUUGUGAUUCAUGACUGGGGUGAAGUCGUAACAAGGUAACCGUAGGGGAACCUGCGGUUGGAUCACCUCCUUA
Molecule: ribosomal RNA, 383 nt
Filed under: Klebsiella variicola
Lineage: Bacteria; Pseudomonadati; Pseudomonadota; Gammaproteobacteria; Enterobacterales; Enterobacteriaceae
Description: bacterial SSU rRNA
Rfam family: Bacterial small subunit ribosomal RNA
Source: RNAcentral